Molecule: ribosomal RNA, 1283 nt
Filed under: Priasilpha obscura
Lineage: Eukaryota; Metazoa; Arthropoda; Insecta; Coleoptera; Phloeostichidae
Description: large subunit ribosomal RNA
Rfam family: Archaeal large subunit ribosomal RNA (bases 1042-1201)
Source: RNAcentral
AUUGAGUAUUUUAUUUAAUUUUUAAGGGUAAUUUUUAUUAAAAUAAGUAUAUUAAUUUUUAAUAUUAGAUAAGAAAAAAUAAAUUUAAUUAUAGGUUAUGAGUAUUGUGAGAGAAAUAUUUUAAAUAUUAUAAAGAAAAAUUUAUUUUUUGUACCUUGUGUAUCAGGGUUGAUUAACUAUAAUUUAAUUAUAUUAAAUUUCUCGAAUUUAGAAGAGUUAUUAGUUUAUAGAUUUUAUUGUUAAAUAAAUAUUUUUAAUAGACUAUUAGUAAUGAAAUGUUAUUCGUUUUUAAAUAUAUCUAGUUUUUUAAGAAAAAGGUUUAAUUUUAUUUUGAAAAAAAUUAUAUAAUUAAAUUAUUAGUUAUAUAUUUUUUAAUUUGUAUGUUUUUAGGGAUAAGCUUGAAAAUAUAUAUUUAUAAUUAUUAUUGGUAGUUUUUAAAUUGUAGGAUUAGAAUUUUUUAUCAUUAAUAAAAUGUUAUAGUUAAUUAAAUUUAGAUAUGAUUUAUAUAAAUUUUAAAUUUUUUAUUAAAAUAUUUAUUUAAAUAAAAAAAAUAAAGUAAUAAUGAUUAAAUUAGUAUAAAUUAUUUGUUUAGUUAAUUUAUAUUAUUAAGUUUAAUUAAAGGAAUUCGGCAAAUUAUUUUUCACCUGUUUAUUAAAAACAUGUCUUAUUGAGUAUAAUUUUAAGUCUGACCUGCCCACUGAUUUUUAAAUGGCCGCGGUAUUUUGACCGUGCAAAGGUAGCAUAAUCAUUAGUUUUUUAAUUGAAAGCUGGAAUGAAAGGUUGAAUGAAAAAAUAACUGUCUCUAUUUAAAUUUUAGAAUUUUAUUUUUAAGUUAAAAAGCUUAAAUUUGAUUAAAAGACGAGAAGACCCUAUAGAGUUUUAUAUUAAAUUAUAAAUAUUUUUUUAAGAAUUAAUAAUUUAUUUAUUUUUUAAUAUUAGGUUGGGGUGAUUGAAAAAUUUAAUAAACUUUUUUUAUAUAUUUACAUUUAUUUAUGAAAUUUUGAUCCAUUAUUAAUGAUUAUAAGAAUAAAUUACCUUAGGGAUAACAGCGUUAUUUUUUUUAAGAGUUCUUAUCGAAAAAAAAGUUUGCGACCUCGAUGUUGGAUUAAAAUUAAAUUUUGGUGUAGAAGCUAAAAAAUUUAGGUCUGUUCGACCUUUAAAAUUUUACAUGAUCUGAGUUUAAACCGGUGUGAGCCAGGUUGGUUUCUAUCUUUAAUAUAUUAUAAUAUUUUAGUACGAAAGGACCAAAUAUUAAAUUAAUAAUUUAAAUUUUGAAUAAAAAU